This 692-nucleotide ribosomal RNA is filed under the name uncultured bacterium. RNAcentral's name for it is "bacterial SSU rRNA". It matches the Rfam family "Bacterial small subunit ribosomal RNA", at positions 153 to 847 of the family's 1533-position model. The record is from RNAcentral.
GAAAGAAAGAUUAAUACCCGAUGGCAUAAUAGAACCGCAUGGUUUGAUUAUUAAAGAAUUUCGGUUAUCGAUGGGGAUGCGUUCCAUUAGGCAGUUGGUGGGGUAACGGCCCACCAAACCUUCGAUGGAUAGGGGUUCUGAGAGGAAGGUCCCCCACAUUGGAACUGAGACACGGUCCAAACUCCUACGGGAGGCAGCAGUGAGGAAUAUUGGUCAAUGGACGAGAGUCUGAACCAGCCAAGUAGCGUGAAGGAUGACUGCCCUAUGGGUUGUAAACUUCUUUUAUAUGGGAAUAAAGUGAUCCACGUGUGGAUUUUUGUAUGUACCAUAUGAAUAAGGAUCGGCUAACUCCGUGCCAGCAGCCGCGGUAAUACGGAGGAUCCGAGCGUUAUCCGGAUUUAUUGGGUUUAAAGGGAGCGUAGGUGGACAGUUAAGUCAGUUGUGAAAGUUUGCGGCUCAACCGUAAAAUUGCAGUCGAUACUGGCUGUCUUGAGUACAGUAGAGGUGGGCGGAAUUCGUGGUGUAGCGGUGAAAUGCUUAGAUAUCACGAAGAACUCCGAUUGCGAAGGCAGCUCACUGGACUGCAACUGACACUGAUGCUCGAAAGUGUGGGUAUCAAACAGGAUUAGAUACCCUGGUAGUCCACACAGUAAACGAUGAAUACUCGCUGUUUGCGAUAUACAGUAAGCGGC